This 465-nucleotide ribosomal RNA is filed under the name uncultured bacterium. Its description in RNAcentral is "partial 16S ribosomal RNA". It matches the Rfam family "Bacterial small subunit ribosomal RNA", at positions 28 to 507 of the family's 1533-position model. The record is from RNAcentral.
GACGAACGCUGGCGGCGUGCUUAACACAUGCAAGUCGUACGGUAAGGCCCUUUCGGGGGUCCACGAGUGGCGAACGGGUGAGUAACACGUGAGUAACCUGCCCACAACUUUGGGAUAACGCUAGGAAACUGGUGCUAAUACUGGAUAUGUGCUCCUGCUGCAUGGUGGGGGUUGGAAAGCUCCGGCGGUUGUGGAUGGACUCGCGGCCUAUCAGCUUGUUGGUGGGGUAGUGGCCUACCAAGGCGGCGACGGGUAGCCGGCCUGAGAGGGUGACCGGCCACAUUGGGACUGAGAUACGGCCCAGACUCCUACGGGAGGCAGCAGUGGGGAACAUUGCACAAUGGGCGCAAGCCUGAUGCAGCAACGCCGCGUGCGGGAGGACGGCCUUCGGGUUGUAAACCGCUUUCAGCAGGGACGAAGCUUUUUGUGACGGUACCUGCAGAAGAAGCACCGGCUAACUACGUG